UACAGAGGGUGCGAGCGUUGUCCGGAAUCACUGGGCGUAAAGGGCGCGUAGGCGGUCUCUUAAGCGUGUGGUGAAAGCCCGGGGCUCAACUCCGGGUCGGCCGUGCGAACUGGGGGACUGGAGCUUGUCAGAGGCAGGCGGAAUUCCGGGUGUAGCGGUGGAAUGCGUAGAGAUCCGGAAGAACACCGGUGGCGAAGGCGGCCUGCUGGGACAGUGCUGACGCUGAGGCGCGACAGCGUGGGAGCAAACAGG
Molecule: ribosomal RNA, 252 nt
Filed under: uncultured bacterium
Lineage: Bacteria
Description: partial 16S ribosomal RNA
Rfam family: Bacterial small subunit ribosomal RNA
Source: RNAcentral